UAGGGAAUCUUCCACAAUGGACGCAAGUCUGAUGGAGCAACGCCGCGUGAGUGAAGAAGGUUUUCGGAUCGUAAAGCUCUGUUGUUGGUGAAGAAGGAUAGAGGUAGUAACUGGCCUUUAUUUGACGGUAAUCAACCAGAAAGUCACGGCUAACUACGUGCCAGCAGCCGCGGUAAUACGUAGGUGGCAAGCGUUGUCCGGAUUUAUUGGGCGUAAAGCGAGCGCAGGCGGAAGAAUAAGUCUGAUGUGAAAGCCCUCGGCUUAACCGAGGAACUGCAUCGGAAACUGUUUUUCUUGAGUGCAGAAGAGGAGAGUGGAACUCCAUGUGUAGCGGUGGAAUGCGUAGAUAUAUGGAAGAACACCAGAGGCGAAGGCGACUCUCUGGUCUGCAACUGACGCUGAGGCUCGAAAGCAUGGGUAGCGAACAGG
RNAcentral lists this ribosomal RNA (429 nucleotides) under bacterium. RNAcentral's name for it is "partial 16S ribosomal RNA". It matches the Rfam family "Bacterial small subunit ribosomal RNA", at positions 355 to 776 of the family's 1533-position model. The record is from RNAcentral.